GUGCCAGCAGCCGCGGUAAUACGAAGGGGGCUAGCGUUGUUCGGAAUUACUGGGCGUAAAGCGCAUGCAGGCGGAUCGCUAAGUCAGGGGUGAAAGCCCGAGGCUCAACCUCGGAACUGCCUUUGAUACUGGCGAUCUUGAGUCCGGGAGAGGUGAGUGGAACUCCGAGUGUAGAGGUGAAAUUCGUAGAUAUUCGGAAGAACACCAGUGGCGAAGGCGGCUCACUGGCCCGGUACUGACGCUGAGAUGCGAAAGCGUGGGGAGCAAACAGGAUUAGAUACCCUGGUAGUCC
Molecule: ribosomal RNA, 292 nt
Filed under: uncultured bacterium
Lineage: Bacteria
Description: partial 16S ribosomal RNA
Rfam family: Bacterial small subunit ribosomal RNA
Source: RNAcentral